GUGGGGAAUAUUGGACAAUGGGCGAAAGCCUGAUCCAGCCAUGCCGCGUGUGUGAAGAAGGUCUUCGGAUUGUAAAGCACUUUAAGUUGGGAGGAAGGGCAGUAAGCUAAUACCUUGCUGUUUUGACGUUACCGACAGAAUAAGCACCGGCUAACUUCGUGCCAGCAGCCGCGGUAAUACGAAGGGUGCAAGCGUUAAUCGGAAUUACUGGGCGUAAAGCGGGCGUAGGUGGUUCAGCAAGUUGGAGGUGAAAUCCCCGGGCUCAACCUGGGAACGGCCUCCAAAACUACUGAGCUAGAGUACGGUAGAGGGUAGUGGAAUUUCCUGUGUAGCGGUGAAAUGCGUAGAUAUAGGAAGGAACACCAGUGGCGAAGGCGACUACCUGGACUGAUACUGACACUGAGGUGCGAAAGCGUGGGGAGCAAACAGGAUUAGAUACCCUUGUAGUCC
Molecule: ribosomal RNA, 450 nt
Filed under: uncultured bacterium
Lineage: Bacteria
Description: partial 16S ribosomal RNA
Rfam family: Bacterial small subunit ribosomal RNA
Source: RNAcentral